Rhineura floridana is the source of this 1303-nucleotide long non-coding RNA. RefSeq lists it as uncharacterized. The record is from RefSeq and is a predicted model, not a curated record. NCBI's taxonomy places the organism in Eukaryota, Metazoa, Chordata, Lepidosauria, Squamata, Rhineuridae. The transcript is spliced from 3 exons.
GUUUAGAAAGGCCGACCGCUAGGUGCCAAAGAGAGGAAGUGAGGGCUGAGGUACAGGGACGGCGCUUGUCCACUCGGAGAAGAAGAGUGGCAGCUAUAUGAUCACGUGGUGGGAACCACCUCCUUUGCUUAAUCGCAGUCCCAUUUUCUCAGAUCAUCUGACAGAAAUCAGUGGCAACCCUUACAGGAUCAGUGACAGCCCAGUAGAAUUGAUUGACCCUCAUCAAGUCAACAUUUGGCCCAUCCCAAAGACAGCAUAUGAAGGAUAAUUUAAUGUGAAAAAGAAUAGGAGCAUUGACAGACGAGACAUUUUCAAAGUUGCCUGAGGUGGAUAUGUUUAGAUUUUUCCAGUGCUUGGCAUUCUUCCAGAUUUUCUUCAUUGCUGGAGUAUAAUUGUCUUGAAAUAAUUUGUUGAGGGUUUUUUGGUAUUGUCACCCCAAAUAACAAAAUUGUUUAUGACUAAAAGAGGUAUUAAGACUUUCUUUAAUAUGUUUUUGCCUGUCUGGUGGAGUGUGGAACACCAUCAUAGAGGACGUACUUACGAUGUCUCCACUAGCAGGCAGAAAACAGUUUCUGAAAGAUACAAUAUAAAUGCUGAGAUGGGGAAUAAUAUGAAAAUUUAUAGAAGUUUUUUGUUUUAAAAUUACAAUCUGUUCCCAUAUGCCCUUCCAAACCUGAGUGACUCUAAUCAGAUGCAUAUCGUUCUUAUGGACAGAACUGCACAUUUGUAGCCUUUGUCACUCUCUCACUCGUACUCCUCCAUGUAGAUCAAACUUUGUCAACUUGGUACCCUCCAAAUAUUUUGGACUAUAUCUCUCCCAAGUUAGCACAGCAAAGGCUGAUAUAGAGUAGUGGUUCCCAAACAUUUAAAAAUGAUUUUUUAUAGUUAGUAUGAUGCCACCAUGAUGUGUAGGGUAUCACAGGAUUUAUGAUGCUCUGCUGAAUCAUACUUUGAAUGAAGCCACACUUAACAGUGGGCUGUGGGCUAUGCCUUCCCUCCUUUUAGGGCCCAGAUAUGUAAGCACUGAAGCAGGCCAUGUGGGCAUAUUGUUGGAUUUGCAACUGUCUACUAAAUAAUAAUUUCAAAAAUGUCAAGAUCAAAAAUGUUCUGGAAUGGCUCAGCAACCCACCCACCCCAUUUAUCUAUGUACUUGCCAUUGUGUGUGUGUGUGUGUAUAGUUUUUAUGAUUAAUUUUAAUCAUUUUUAUCCAUUGUAUACUUUUUAUAAUUUUUACAUACACUGCUUAGAGAUGUAAGUAAUGAAGUGGUACAUAAAUACCUUAAAUACUUUUAACAUUUAAUAU